Molecule: ribosomal RNA, 1239 nt
Filed under: 'Datura stramonium' phytoplasma
Lineage: Bacteria; Bacillati; Mycoplasmatota; Mollicutes; Acholeplasmatales; Acholeplasmataceae
Description: bacterial SSU rRNA
Rfam family: Bacterial small subunit ribosomal RNA
Source: RNAcentral
AGUGGCUAAGACUGGAUAGGAAGAUAAAAGGCAUCUUUUAUCUUUUAAAAGACCUAGUAAUAGGUAUGCUUUAGGAGGGGCUUGCGCCAUAUUAGUUAGUUGGUAGGGUAAUGGCCUACCAAGACGAUGAUGUGUAGCUGGACUGAGAGGUUGAACAGCCACAUUGGGACUGAGACACGGCCCAAACUCCUACGGGAGGCAGCAGUAGGGAAUUUUCGGCAAUGGAGGAAACUCUGACCGAGCAACGCCGCGUGAAUGACGAAGUACUUCGGUAUGUAAAGUUCUUUUAUCAAGGAAGAAAAGCAAAUGGCGAACCAUUUGUUUGCCGGUACUUGAUGAAUAAGCCCCGGCUAAUUAUGUGCCAGCAGCCGCGGUAAGACAUAAGGGGCAAGUGUUAUCCGGAAUUAUUGGGCGUAAAGGGUGCGUAGGCGGUCUAGUAAGUCAGUGGUGUAAUGGCAACGCUUAACGUUGUCCGGCUAUUGAAACUGCUAAACUUGAGUUAGAUAGAGGCGAGUGGAAUUCCAUGUGUAGCGGUAAAAUGCGUAAAUAUAUGGAGGAACACCAGAGGCGUAGGCGGCUCGCUGGGUCUUAACUGACGUUGAGGCACGAAAGCGUGGGGAGCAAACAGGAUUAGAUACCCUGGUAGUCCACGCCGUAAACGAUGAGUACUAAGUGUCGGGUUAAACCGGUACUGAAGUUAACACAUUAAGUACUCCGCCUGAGUAGUACGUACGCAAGUAUGAAACUUAAAGGAAUUGACGGGACUCCGCACAAGCGGUGGAUCAUGUUGUUUAAUUCGAAGAUACCCGAAAAACCUUACCAGGUCUUGACAUGUUUUUGCAAAAUGAUAGUAAUAUCGUGGAGGUUACCAGAAACACAGGUGGUGCAUGGUUGUCGUCAGCUCGUGUCGUGAGAUGUUAGGUUAAGUCCUAAAACGAGCGAAACCCUUAUCGUUAGUUGCCAGCACGUUAUGGUGGGGACUUUAACGAGACUGCCAAUGAUAAAUUGGAGGAAGGUGAGGAUCACGUCAAAUCAGCAUGCCCCUUAUGACCUGGGCUACAAACGUGAUACAAUGGCUGUUACAAAGGGUAGCUGAAACGCAAGUUCUUGGCCAAUCCCCAAAAACAGUCCCAGUCCGGAUUGAAGUCUGCAACUCGACUUCAUGAAGUUGGAAUCGCUAGUAAUCGCGAAUCAGCAUGUCGCGGUGAAUACGUUCUCGGGGUUUGUACACACCGCCCG